GAUGAACGCUGGCGGCGUGCCUAAUACAUGCAAGUCGAGCGAACAGAUGAGGAGCUUGCUCCUCUGACGUUAGCGGCGGACGGGUGAGUAACACGUGGAUAACCUACCUAUAAGACUGGGAUAACUUCGGGAAACCGGAGCUAAUACCGGAUAAUAUAUUGAACCGCAUGGUUCAAUAGUGAAAGACGGUUUUGCUGUCACUUAUAGAUGGAUCCGCGCCGCAUUAGCUAGUUGGUAAGGUAACGGCUUACCAAGGCAACGAUGCGUAGCCGACCUGAGAGGGUGAUCGGCGACGCUGGAACUGAGACACGGUCCAGACUCCUACGGGAGGCAGCAGUAGGGAAUCUUCCGCAAUGGGCGAAAGCCUGACGGAGCAACGCCGCGUGAGUGAUGAAGGUCUUCGGAUCGUAAAACUCUGUUAUUAGGGAAGAACAAAUGUGUAAGUAACUAUGCACGUCUUGACGGUACCUAAUCAGAGAGCCACGGCUAACUACGUG
This 497-nucleotide ribosomal RNA is filed under the name uncultured bacterium. RNAcentral's name for it is "partial 16S ribosomal RNA". It matches the Rfam family "Bacterial small subunit ribosomal RNA", at positions 28 to 507 of the family's 1533-position model. The record is from RNAcentral.